UCAAGUUAUUAAGGGUGCAGGGCGGAUGCCUUGGCACUAGGAGCCGAUGAAGGACGUGAUAAGCUGCGAUAAGCUUCGGGGAGUUGCACGUAAACUUUGAUCCGAAGAUUUCCGAAUGAGGAAACUCACUUAGAGUAAUGUCUAAGUAUCAUUAAGUGAAUACAUAGCUUAAUGAGGGGAACUCAGGGAACUGAAACAUCUAAGUACCUGAAGGAAGAGAAAGAAAUUCGAUUCCGUAAGUAGCGGCGAGCGAACGCGGAUUAGCCCAAACCAAUAAAGUUUUCUUUGUUGGGGUUGCGGACAUAUCAUAACGAAGAGGUAUCGUAAUUGAAGAGGUUUGGAAAGACCCACCACAGAAGGUAAUAGUCCUGUAUGUUAAACGAGAAGACUUCAGAUAUGAUCCAGAGUACCACGGGACACGUGAAACCCUGUGGGAAGCAGGAGGGACCACCCUCCAAGGCUAAAUACUACCUAGUGACCGAUAGCGUAUAGUACCGUGAGGGAAAGGUGAAAAGAACCCCGGGAGGGGAGUGAAAUAGAACCUGAAACCCUGCACUUACAAGCUGUGGAAGCACAUUUCUUGUGUGACCGCGUACUUUUUGUAGAACGGGCCAACGAGUUACGUUAAGUAGCAAGGUUAAGCACUUAAGGUGUGGAGCCGUAGCGAAAGCGAGUUUUAACUGAGCGUUCAGUUACUUGACGUAGACCCGAAACCGGGCGACCUACCCAUGAGCAGGAUGAAGCGAAAGUAAAAUUUCGUGGAGGUCCGAACCCACGAGCGUUGAAAAGCUCGGGGAUGACUUGUGGGUAGCGGUGAAAUUCCAAUCGAGCCCGGAGAUAGCUGGUUCUCCCCGAAAUAGCUUUAGGGCUAGCCUCAAGGUGAGAGAUACGGAGGUAGAGCACUGAAUGUCCUAGGGGGUAUUGCACCUACCGAAGACUAUCAAACUCCGAAUGCCGUCAUCUUAUACUUGGGAGUCAGACUGUGGGUGAUAAGAUUCAUAGUCGAAAGGGCAACAGCCCAGAUCGUCAGCUAAGGUCCCUAAAUGUAAGUUAAGUGGUAAAGGAUGUGGGAUUGCACAGACAACCAGGAUGUUGGCUUAGAAGCAGCCACUCAUUCAAAGAGUGCGUAAUAGCUCACUGGUCGAGUGAUCCUGCGCCGAAGAUUUCCGGGGCUAAAACUUACUACCGAAGCUACGGCAUCAGUAAUGAUGGGUAGGGGAGCUUCCCAUACGGGUUGAAGCAUGACCGUAAGGACAUGUGGACAGUAUGGGAGUGAGAAUGUUGGCAUGAGUAGCGAGAUGUGGGUGAGAAUCCCACAGGCCGUAAACCCAAGGUUUCCAGGGGAAGGUUCGUCCGCCCUGGGUUAGUCGGGACCUAAGCUGAGGCCGAAAGGCGUAGGUGAUGGACAACAGGUUGAUAUUCCUGUACUACCGAUAACCAUUUGAGAGAAGGGAUGACACAGUAGGAUAAGCUAAGCACACUGUUGGUUAUGUGUGCCCAAGCAUUGAGGCAGUCAAAGUAGGCAAAUCCGCUUUGAUAAUGCUGGGAUGUGAUGGGGAGCGAAAUUUAGUAGCGAAGUAGCUGAUUUCACACUGUCAAGAAAAGUCUCUAUCGAGGUUAAAGGUACCCGUACCGCAAACCGACACAGGUGGGUGAGGAGAGUAUCCUAAGGCCAGCGAGAGAACUGUUGUUAAGGAACUCGGCAAAAUGACCCCGUAACUUAGGGAUAAGGGGUGCCACCAUCCGGUGGCCGCAGAGAAUAGGCCCAAGCGACUGUUUACCAAAAACAUAGGUUUCUGCUAAGUCGCAAGACGAUGUAUAGGAGCUGACGCCUGCCCGGUGCUGGAAGGUUAAGGGGAUCUGUUAGAGCAAUCGAAGCAGUGAACUUAAGCCCCAGUAAACGGCGGCCGUAACUAUAACGGUCCUAAGGUAGCGAAAUUCCUUGUCGGGUAAGUUCCGACCCGCACGAAAGGCGUAACGAUUUGGGCACUGUCUCAACAACAGACUCGGUGAAAUUGUAAUUCCGGUGAAGAUGCCGGAUACCUGCGACAGGACGGAAAGACCCCAUGGAGCUUUACUGUAGCUUGACAUUGGGUCUUGGUACUACAUGUACAGGAUAGGUGGGAGGCUUUGAAACCAGGACGCCAGUUUUGGCGGAGCCAUCCUUGGGAUACCACCCUUGUAGUACUGGGACUCUAACCAUAGGCCAUGAAUCUGGUCUUGGGACACUGUCAGGUGGGCAGUUUGACUGGGGCGGUCGCCUCCCAAAAGGUAACGGAGGCGCUCAAAGGUUCUCUCAGUACGGUCGGAAAUCGUACGUAGAGUGUAAAGGCAAAAGAGAGCUUGAUUGCAAGACAUACAGGUCGAGCAAGGAUGAAAAUCGGACUUAGUGAUCCGGUGGUUCUGCGUGGAAGGGCCAUCGCUCAACGGAUAAAAGCUACCCUGGGGAUAACAGGCUUAUCU
Molecule: ribosomal RNA, 2463 nt
Filed under: human gut metagenome
Description: bacterial LSU rRNA
Rfam family: Bacterial large subunit ribosomal RNA
Source: RNAcentral